This 253-nucleotide ribosomal RNA is filed under the name uncultured bacterium. RNAcentral's name for it is "partial 16S ribosomal RNA". It matches the Rfam family "Bacterial small subunit ribosomal RNA", at positions 524 to 776 of the family's 1533-position model. The record is from RNAcentral.
UACGGGGGGGGCAAGCGUUGUUCGGAAUUACUGGGCGUAAAGGGCGCGUAGACGGCCUUCUAAGUCGAACGUGAAAUCCCUGGGCUCAACCCAGGAACUGCGUCCGAUACUGGGAGGCUUGAAUCCGGGAGAGGGAUGCGGAAUUCCAGGUGUAGCGGUGAAAUGCGUAGAUAUCUGGAGGAACACCGGUGGCGAAGGCGGCAUCCUGGACCGGUAUUGACGCUGAGGCGCGAAAGCCAGGGGAGCAAACGGG